AACUGGAAAAAAAAACGAUCAGGAGAAGCAAGCGCGGAAGAAGAAAAACGUGGGGAGUCCCCGAAGCGACUCCAUCAAGCGGCUUCCUCUUUUUGGAGAAAUCACAGCGAAAGGCGCACGCGUUCGCGCUUUCUGGCGUUUGCUGUCGCUUCUCCCUGUCUCGCGAAUCUCAGUCUGAGUCUUUGGGGACAUCAAGCGUCACCCGUGAGUAUCAGCGUCGUCUCCAACACCGAUGUGGGGCGAUCGGCCGAGAUGGUAUGGCACCAGGCUCAGGACAGUGAAAGCAGUUUCACCACACCGCGCAGUGCGCACGCAAGGGAAUCAAGAAAAGAGGAGAGAGCGUGCGUGACUGCGUGCGCGUCGCGUACUUUUCUCACCCUUUAUUUCUCUCUAAGCGCCCGUCUUGGUCGUGAGCACCGCUCCGGCAAUGGACUGUACGGAAAACACGAAAAGUAAGCGCAGGGAAGCAGACGCUCACAUACACAUACACGCACAGCUAACGGCACCUCUCCCACCCCUGACGCUUGAGAGGUGUGCGGCCGACUACAGAGCAAACUCUUCAUGGUGUGCCUGCUUGCAUGCGUUCAAUCUCUUCUGGUUCUUGCCUGUGGGUACGUAUCUACGGACAGGGGACAAGGAAAUACUCACCACACCGUCGAUGAGCAGCUUAGCGGGCGGUGGUUCCAAGGAGUCCCCGUGACGCAGCAACGAUAACCGUGGUUUGUGUUGAUGGGACUUAUUCCAGCCGACGGCGCGUAUCCCAAAGUUUCUUGCUCUGCGGACCGCGCGCCUGCGUUCUGCUCUUACGGUGGCAGGUGCACGAAACGCAACUGCCGUCUCACUCACCCGCUUUCCUGGAAACGCUCUCUCCUCCUCCAUCUAUCCCUCCCCAUUUGGGGCCCAACGCGUCUUCUCUCUUCGUCGUCGCUCGCGACGCGCUUGUCUCGCAG
This 950-nucleotide unclassified non-coding RNA is filed under the name Leishmania donovani. Its description in RNAcentral is "gene:unknown". The record is from RNAcentral. Lineage: Eukaryota; Euglenozoa; Kinetoplastea; Trypanosomatida; Trypanosomatidae.